UUCCAAGGUCUCUGAGGAGCAACUGCCACAACUGACAAAAAAGCAGUUACUGAGCUCUGAGGAGCAACUGCCACAACAGACUUGUGGUGGAGCAGCAGGUUGAAAACACCGCUGCUCCUGAAGGCUCCCACUGCUGAGGUGGCUGGAUUCUGAAGAAGGCCAUUGAGUUUGGGCUGAGGAAUUUACCAUCUCCUUGCCUGCAAGUCAUUGCUGAUCUUCUCAGAACCAAUCCUGAUCCCCUUGCUUCUAGAUCUAGAAUUCAACUCAAGUCCCAGACAGUCCAGAGGAACUGACAAGAGAAAUGUCAAGUCAUCAAGAAGACAUUCUCAUUAGAUGUCUGUGGGCCCCUACUACAGCUGCCUAUUGCCAUUAUCAAUGGAACCUGUGCCGAAGUGGUCGCAGCAGUGGGAAAGUCACUUCUUAUUGAUUCUGAUGCUGCAUACUAUAUACAUAUUUCCCAUGCAUUCAAGAAACCUGGUCUCUAAAACACAGGAACUUAAUGCUAUCAAUUAAAGUGAAUUAAAUAAUGGCUUGGU
Talpa occidentalis (Iberian mole) is the source of this 536-nucleotide long non-coding RNA. RefSeq lists it as uncharacterized. The record is from RefSeq and is a predicted model, not a curated record. NCBI's taxonomy places the organism in Eukaryota, Metazoa, Chordata, Mammalia, Eulipotyphla, Talpidae. The transcript is spliced from 3 exons.